This 69-nucleotide transfer RNA is filed under the name Urocitellus parryii (Arctic ground squirrel). Its description in RNAcentral is "Spermophilus parryii (Arctic ground squirrel) tRNA". It matches the Rfam family "tRNA". Rfam says of the family: Transfer RNA (tRNA) molecules are approximately 80 nucleotides in length. RNAcentral also lists the same sequence under 2 other names. The record is from Rfam by way of RNAcentral. Lineage: Eukaryota; Metazoa; Chordata; Mammalia; Rodentia; Sciuridae.
GGGGCUGUAGCUCAGUGGCAGAGCACUUGCCUAGCAUGUGUGAGAUACUGGGUUCGAUCCUCAGCACCA